This 495-nucleotide ribosomal RNA is filed under the name uncultured bacterium. RNAcentral describes it as "partial 16S ribosomal RNA". It matches the Rfam family "Bacterial small subunit ribosomal RNA", at positions 28 to 505 of the family's 1533-position model. The record is from RNAcentral.
GAUGAACGCUGGCGGCGUGCCUAAUACAUGCAAGUCGAGCGAACAGACGAGGAGCUUGCUCCUCUGACGUUAGCGGCGGACGGGUGAGUAACACGUGGAUAACCUACCUAUAAGACUGGGAUAACUUCGGGAAACCGGAGCCAAUACCGGAUAAUAUAUUGAACCGCAUGGUUCAAUAGUGAAAGACGGUUUUGCUGUCACUUAUAGAUGGAUCCGCGCCGCAUUAGCUAGUUGGUAAGGUAACGGCUUACCAAGGCAACGAUGCGUAGCCGACCUGAGAGGGUGAUCGGCCACACUGGAACUGAGACACGGUCCAGACUCCUACGGGAGGCAGCAGUAGGGAAUCUUCCGCAAUGGGCGAAAGCCUGACGGAGCAACGCCGCGUGAGUGAUGAAGGUCUUCGGAUCGUAAAACUCUGUUAUUAGGGAAGAACAAAUGUGUAAGUAACUAUGCACGUCUUGACGGUACCUAAUCAGAAAGCCACGGCUAACUACG